This is a non-coding RNA of Trametes maxima, 96 nucleotides long. NCBI's taxonomy places the organism in Eukaryota, Fungi, Basidiomycota, Agaricomycetes, Polyporales, Polyporaceae. The record is from the annotation of a GenBank genome assembly.
GGUGGCGUGGCCGAGUUGGUCUAAGGCGUCGGAUUUAAGCUAUUCUUGAUUCCCGAUGGGAGCUAUCCCGCGCGAGUUCGAACCUCGCCGCCACCA